CGGGACGUGGCGCAGCCUGGUAGCGCACUUGCAUGGGGUGCAAGGGGUCGCGAGUUCGAAUCUCGCCGUCCCGACCA
RNAcentral lists this transfer RNA (77 nucleotides) under Steroidobacter flavus. RNAcentral describes it as "tRNA-Pro". It matches the Rfam family "tRNA". From Rfam's summary of the family: Transfer RNA (tRNA) molecules are approximately 80 nucleotides in length. Their secondary structure includes four short double-helical elements and three loops (D, anti-codon, and T loops). RNAcentral also lists the same sequence under 10 other names. Lineage: Bacteria; Pseudomonadati; Pseudomonadota; Gammaproteobacteria; Steroidobacterales; Steroidobacteraceae. The record is from RNAcentral.